GAUGAACGCUGGCGGCGUGCCUAAUACAUGCAAGUCGAGCGAACAGACGAGGAGCUUGCUCCUCUGACGUUAGCGGCGGACGGGUGAGUAACACGUGGAUAACCUACCUAUAAGACUGGGAUAACUUCGGGAAACCGGAGCUAAUACCGGAUAAUAUAUUGAACCGCAUGGUUCAAUAGUGAAAGACGGUUUUGCUGUCACUUAUAGAUGGAUCCGCGCCGCAUUAGCUAGUUGGUAAGGUAACGGCUUACCAAGGCAACGAUGCGUAGCCGACCUGAGAGGGGGACCGCCCACAGUGGAGAGAAGCACGGUCCAAGACGCCGAGGGGGGGCAGCAGGAGGAAUUCUCCCGCAAGGGCCGAAGGCCGGAGGGAGAAGCGCGGGGGGAGUGAGGAGGGUCUUGGGAUCGAAAAACUGUUUUAUUGGGAAAAAAAAAAUGGGAAAUAAACAAGGCCCGUUUGGACGGUCCUUAAUAAAAAACCCCCGGCUAAUUACGUC
Molecule: ribosomal RNA, 497 nt
Filed under: uncultured bacterium
Lineage: Bacteria
Description: partial 16S ribosomal RNA
Rfam family: Bacterial small subunit ribosomal RNA
Source: RNAcentral